AUUGAACGCUGGCGGCAGGCCUAACACAUGCAAGUCUAACGAGUGGCGGACGGGUGAGUAAUGUCUGGGAUACUGCCCGAUGGAGGGGGAUAAAUACUGGAACCGGUAGCUAAUACCGCAUACCAUCGGAUGUGCCCAGAUGGGAUUGGCCAGUAGGUGGGGUAACGGCUCACCUAGGCGACGAUCCCUAGCUGGUCUGAGAGGAUGACCAGCCACACUGGAACAGAGACACGGACCAGACUCCUACGGGAGGCAGCAGUGGGGAAUAUUGCACAAUGGGCGCAAGCCUGAUGCAGCCAUGCCGCGUGUAUGAAGAAGGCCUUCGGGUUAUAAAGUACUUUCAGCGAGGAGGCGUUACUCGCAGAAGAAGCACCGGCUAACUCCGAGCCAGCAGCCGCGGUAAUAC
RNAcentral lists this ribosomal RNA (406 nucleotides) under uncultured bacterium. RNAcentral describes it as "partial 16S ribosomal RNA". It matches the Rfam family "Bacterial small subunit ribosomal RNA", at positions 30 to 526 of the family's 1533-position model. The record is from RNAcentral.